CCCUGGCAGAAGAAGUGGAGCCUCCGAAGGCCCAGGCUCGGAUUCUGGUUAGAAGUCGCGUUUGCUGCACUCUCCUCGGAACACUCGCACGUCCCUGCCUCACCCGUUUCUUUCCAUCCUCUGUUUUUGGAUGGCUUCUCCUUUUUUUUUUUUUUCUUGGCCGUGCCCCGAGCUUCGCUCUGCCUGACAGCCCAUCAGCAAUCCCCGCUCUCCCACUACCGGUUGGGGAGCCUCCACCGGGCUCUGCCGCAAAUCGUGCCCUCGGCCCAAGCCACCACAUCUGCCUAGAGGCGGGCAAAAUCCCCUCUCUCCCCCGUACAGACGCUCUCAGACACACUCACACGUUCUUGCUCCCCAUCCUUCCACUGAGGCCCUCCCUUGCCCCUCAUGGAUCCUCUCAUGCUCCCGGCUGCUUCCCGCAGCGCAGCGCGAGCCCAGCCCCUGCCCUGCAGCAGCCCCGCUCCUGUGAACCCGGCAGACCCAUCCUGACAUCUUUAAUAUUCAUAAAAGUCAACCCCAGUCUAAAGAAAACGUGGCUGAUGAUGAAAGUAUUUACAUUGCAAAUCGCUUUUAAUAACCCUCCAGUAGUCAGCUUGCUGAUAAAUGCUAAUCUGUCUAUCAGCCCCCCCAAAAAAUAUAAUAAUAAUAAAAUAAAAAUAAAAAAGAACCCGAAAUGGAGAGGCAGAGAGCUGGGAAGCAGACAGUGACAGUGAGGGGGCCUCAGCCCCAGGCAUCCCUGACCAACUGUGAACUCCUGCUCCUUCUGCAGGUGCAGGAUCAGACACAACAUCUCCAUGUUACACAUCAUCUCACCCGAUUUUAGCCCUCUAAAACGCUGAACACCAGGCAUAGCCAAUUGCUUGAGCCCAUCCAAACCACUUUUGGGGCGGCCCAGAGAUCACACACACCUCGGGAGAGUUAAACCCAGCAGCCUGCCUCCCACCCCGGUGCGCUGCCAUCUCUCCAGUCAAUAAUCAUCUGCUUUUUGUGUUUUAAAAGAUCGCUGCUGCUAUUUUAAGGUUGCACUCAAUUUUGUCACAUUCGCCAUAUAAGCACGACUUGGAAUAUUUCAAUAUAAUUGUUGUGUUGCUGUCCCCAUUCUUGCAACUCUUAUUUGCUUUCUGGGUAAUGGAAGGGGUAAAGUGCUUCUGAAUCACUUCUGUUAUACCUAUUAUAAAAAAAGGGGGGGAGAGGAGUGGAAAUGCGGGCUCGAGCUGUUUCCCCUUGUACCAUAUCACCACGCUGACGGUCCCCAGGCUGUGGCAAUGCCCUGCGCAGAGGCUGGGAGCCCAGGCAGGUCCUGAGCCACAGCUCAGGUUUGGGCAGCGUGACAGAGCCCAGCUUGUGCCACGCACACAGCCUAAUAAAAGUGUGCUUUUACACA
RNAcentral lists this long non-coding RNA (1384 nucleotides) under Anser cygnoides (Swan goose). Its description in RNAcentral is "lncRNA (ENSACDG00005007367.1)". Lineage: Eukaryota; Metazoa; Chordata; Aves; Anseriformes; Anatidae. The record is from RNAcentral.